AACGAUGACGGUGAGGCGAAGCAGUGGUGGUGUGGUGUGGUUUUUAAGGAGUUAGGGUUUUUUUUCUUUUGGAGAAGAAGAAGAAAAAGGGUUUGGAGAUUUAGGGAUUUGGGUGUUUUAUUUUUUCUUUUUUUCUCUUUUUUUCUUGUGGCCUGUUUGGGCCUCUUGUCCAUUUCUUUUUUUUAUUUGCUUAGGGUUAGCUAGGCUAUUCGGCCCAAUUCUCUUCUUCCUUUUUUUUUCUUUGGGUUCUGUUUGGGCUUAUAGGGGUUUUGGAUCUUGGCAUUAAGUAUUGGGUUAAUUAUGUAGGUAAUUUGGAUUUGUAUUUGGGUAAGUGGAUUUGGUUUACGUAAGGGGUAGGUAUUGGGUUGGUGGAUGGGUGUUGGAUUUGGGUUUUGGGGUUUUUUUAAAGGGUAGGGAUGUUAGUUUUUUUUUACUUUGUAGGUAAAUAACUG
Molecule: long non-coding RNA, 452 nt
Filed under: Gossypium raimondii (Peruvian cotton)
Lineage: Eukaryota; Viridiplantae; Streptophyta; Magnoliopsida; Malvales; Malvaceae
Description: long non-coding RNA (GRAI_LNC002026)
Source: RNAcentral